CGAAAGAGGAGGAAACCCGAAUAGAAGAAGAAAAUCAGUUUCAUCGGCGGUUGAAAGCGAAGGUGAGGAUGGAGAAACUGUUCAGGAAGUUGUCCAAGUUAACGCCAGGUGCAGAGACUGCGGAGAAAGCAGGUUCCAGCUGCUCCUGUCAUGUGACUCUGCCUCACUUGAAGGCCUUGCCCACUUUGCGGUGGAGACAAAUUUCUUCAGACACCUGAAUUACCUAUCACUGAGGCUUACUCAGGGCUCUGACAAACAAACCAAGGACUAUCUGGCAGAGUCUGUCUUCUCUCAAGGAUGAAAAACAAGCCCUGGAGGUGAAACUUCAAAAAACUGAAGAGGAUCUGUCCAGACAGCUGAAUUACGCUCAGCAGAGCGUUGAGAUCAUCAAGAAGUUUCAGGGUGAGUUGCGAGCUGUUCGGGACAAGAACAAGGCCCAGACAUGGCGCUGGUGGCCCAGGAGAACGUCGUCCAGGAGACCUCAGCCAACCUUGAGUGUGCUCGCAAGGACAUACACAAUGCUCAUCAGCAGCUCUCCAACAAGGACCAGCAGUAAUGGUCCAUCGAGUGGUUGGAAUUCAAAAUUACAAAGGGGAGAACAAGAAUAAGCAGGUUUUGCGCUUUCAAGAGAAUCAAGUGGUGUCCCAAGUCUCCUUAAACCCAGGGGUAAGGGGUAAGUGCUAAGGGGUGUAUAUACCCCUUCAAAACGAGUGUGGUAGCUGACUACACUUGAAACGAAGGGGAUGGCGGAGCUACCACACCCGCUGAGAAGACGGAAGUGCAGAGACCAGAAGAAACUCAUAAAUCUGCAGCGGCUGUGGUGGCUCCUGACCUCACGUCUUCCUGCUCCCGCCUCAAGUCUGCAAUUAACAUAAAUGAAUACAGUUUGUGCUCCUGCAACACCAGCAGUGAAUCUGCCGGUCUGGACCCCAAACAUUUUGGGAGGCAAGGCGACAUUCCUGUCUACGUCCUUCCUUCUAGUCUGCUUCCCAGAGUCAAGAGGUCCCACCGCCACGGGGCAAAACUCCCGUGCCCUCAGCCUAUUUUCCUAAUUUAAAAACAUCUUUCUUACACAAUUAUUUAUUAUCUUCUAUGCUGUAAAUAUAUGUAUACAGUAUUAUGUAUACAUUUAUGUUUUAUACACGUCUGCAUCAGAAUUAAAGCUUAAAUCUCAUUGUUCAGAUCGA
Molecule: long non-coding RNA, 1187 nt
Organism: Dunckerocampus dactyliophorus (ringed pipefish)
Lineage: Eukaryota; Metazoa; Chordata; Actinopteri; Syngnathiformes; Syngnathidae
Exons: 8
Source: RefSeq, a predicted model, not a curated record